Molecule: long non-coding RNA, 1665 nt
Organism: Vidua chalybeata
Lineage: Eukaryota; Metazoa; Chordata; Aves; Passeriformes; Viduidae
Exons: 4
Source: RefSeq, a predicted model, not a curated record
CUAACACCUCUUGACAACAUCACUGAAAUAGGAUCUAUAACACAACAACAGAUGUGAAACCCUGAUCUCAACUAUAUAGGAUCAGAAAUGCAAAGAGGAUACAGAAGGCACCUUCUCAACACACAUUCAAGCACAUGUUUUUGCUUCUGACCACAAAUUUUCCUCUUUGAUGCUCUGCAGGUUCUGAAACCACCACUCUGACAUCAUCUGGAAUAUUUGUUUAACUGCUGUGUGGGCCACAAGAAAGAAACAUUAGUGAGCUGAGUGAAAAAAUUCACUUUUUUUUUUUUUCCCAGAGAAAAUCUGAAAAGAUCCCUGAAAUGGGGUAGAGAGAGUAGAAGUGUUUAAAUAAUGCUGCCAGAAACUCAAGUCAGUAAGCUCAGACAAAAAUGGAGAAAGCAAGAGUUAACAUACAGUAAAACACUGCAGUGAAGGGAAAAAGCAACACAGAACUUGCAAUUGAGUAUCUCAAUAAAUAAGGAAAGAAAGGAGAAGCAAUACUCCAGUUCUUUCUGUUCACAGAUGAAAGGAAUUUUGGACACCUGAAAUUUUUCUGUAGGAAGCUUUUCAAGUGAGGCUAAUUGAGGUUUUUAAAUGAGUCGGGAAGUUGCCUCAGUGUCAACCUGGAACCUGAAACCCGAAUACCUGGCUGCCUGCCAAGUGAAGACCAAAACAAAAUCUCUCUUUACACAUGUUAUUUCCAGAAGCUGCCAGUGUCCUCACUAAAGAAAAGACCAACACUUUUUCCUCUUGUCGUCCAAGUAACACAAAAAAAAAAAAAAAAAGGAGUAUCUUUCACUUCCUGAAAAGCAUCAUCAUUUUUCACUAAGUGACAUCAGCAAAACAGUUGCAGGAAUCACUUAUUCAAAGACUCUGAGCCUCUUCUGUUCAGGCUUGUUAUUUUUAGCUUCAGUAGAUUUCACACUCCUCAGUACCUCAGACUGCAAAGAAUUUGGUUCUAUCUUUAGAGCCAGGAACAGCUAAAUUAGAAGUCCAUCUCUGAGGGGUAUGAUGAAGUUGAGUGGCUGAGACAUUACCCACAUCUGGAGCAUGCACGUCCUCGGUCAGCACAAAGCCUCAGCCCUUGAGAAGGCAGGGAAAUGAAAUCUCAAAAGCCACACAAACACCUGCAGCUACAAAACAGACCCCUCUGUGUCAGCUUUCUGCUGCUCCCGAGUGCAAUUUGUGAAAUCCAGUGUUUUCCUAGACAGAAGAUGCUUUAGCUUGUCUUACCAUGGAAAAACUGCAGUGCUGAGGAUAAAGUACCUCCCGCAAACCCACCUUAUCAAGAUACAGAAGGAGAAAUCCCAAAGGUUGACAGUUCCAAAUGCAUCUGGAAAAGUCAAAACAUAUAAUGGGGAUGACCAGACAUAAUGCAGGACAUCUUCUUUUGGCAAAUCUGCAGAGGCUACAAAGAGUCUGUAAUGAGAGGGAAGCUUUGUACUUAACAAACUGGAGAAGCGAGACAUUUUCCCCAUCCUUCUGCUCCAGCCCUUUCUCAUUAUUUGGCUGGAAGACACCAGUGAUUCCACAAGAUAUCUGAAGAUGAGCAGCAAUGUUUGAUACUGGUUUGCAACCAAUCUUUCAGUUCUACCAUUAAGUUUAGAAUUACUACAGAAGUGAAUACAUUUCCUGGCUGGAAUACAAUCCCAGAGGUGAAUCUCC